GCCCGCAAGGGUGAGUAAAGUGGCGUACGGGUGAGUAACACGUGGGUAAUCUACCUUUUGGUGGGGAAUAACCCUGGGAAACCGGGGCUAAUACCGCAUAAGCUCGAAAGAGGAAAAGAGAAAUUUGCCGAAAGAGGAGCCCGCGGCUGAUUAGCUAGUUGGUGAGGUAAAGGCUCACCAAGGCGAAGAUCGGUAGCCGGCCUGAGAGGGCACACGGCCACACUGGCACUGAAACACGGGCCAGACUCCUACGGGAGGCAGCAGUGGGGAAUCUUGCACAAUGGGGGCAACCCUGAUGCAGCGACGCCGCGUGAGCGAUGAAGCCCUUCGGGGUGUAAAGCUCUUUCGGCAGGAACGAUAAUGACGGUACCUGAAGAAGAAGCUGCGGCUAACUACGUGCCAGCAGCCGCGGUAAUACGUAGGCAGCGAGCGUUGUUCGGAGUUACUGGGCGUAAAGCGUGCGUAGGCGGUUUUGUAAGUUUGGUGUGAAAUCUCCCGGCUCAACUGGGAGGGUGCGCCGAAAACUGCAAGGCUGGAGUGUGGGAGAGGUAGGCGGAAUUCCUGGUGUAGCGGUGAAAUGCGUAGAUAUCAGGAGGAACACCUGUGGUGUAGACGGCUUACUGGACCAUGACUGACGCUGAGGCACGAAAGCGUGGGGAGCAAACAGGAUUAGAUACCCUGGUAGUCCACGCCCUAAACGAUGCAUACUUGGUGUGGGCAGUUCAUUCUGUCUGUGCCGGAGCUAACGCGUUAAGUAUGCCGCCUGGGGAGUACGGUCGCAAGGCUGAAACUCAAA
Molecule: ribosomal RNA, 796 nt
Filed under: uncultured Bacillota bacterium
Lineage: Bacteria; Bacillati; Bacillota
Description: bacterial SSU rRNA
Rfam family: Bacterial small subunit ribosomal RNA
Source: RNAcentral